GGUUGUACACACUAGAAACUAGGCAUGCUGAUCCCACCUUGUCUGAUGGAGGUUGUACACACUAGAAACUAGGCAUGCUGAUCCCACCUUGUCUGAUGGAGGUUGUACACACUAGAAACUAUGCUUGCUUAUCCCCCCAUGAUGGAGGUUGUACACACUAGAAACUAUGCAUGCUGAUCCCACCUUGUCUGAUGGAGGUUGUACACACUAGAAACUAUGCAUGCUGAUCCCACCUUGUCUGAUGGAGGUUGUACACACUAGAAACUAUGCAUGCUGAUCCCACCUUGUCUGAUGGAGGUUGUACACACUAGAAACUAUGCAUGCUGAUCCCACCUUGU
Haliotis rufescens (red abalone) is the source of this 338-nucleotide long non-coding RNA. RefSeq lists it as uncharacterized. The record is from RefSeq and is a predicted model, not a curated record. The transcript is spliced from 3 exons. Lineage: Eukaryota; Metazoa; Mollusca; Gastropoda; Lepetellida; Haliotidae.